RNAcentral lists this transfer RNA (72 nucleotides) under Cavia porcellus (domestic guinea pig). It matches the Rfam family "tRNA". Rfam says of the family: Transfer RNA (tRNA) molecules are approximately 80 nucleotides in length. Their secondary structure includes four short double-helical elements and three loops (D, anti-codon, and T loops). Lineage: Eukaryota; Metazoa; Chordata; Mammalia; Rodentia; Caviidae. The record is from Rfam by way of RNAcentral.
UUUGGUAUAGCUCAGCAGCACAGCAACUGCCUGGUAAGCAAAAGGUCCUGAGUGGGAUUCCUGGUACCAAAA